CUCCAAAGUGCAUAUUGCUGAUAUCAAAUAAUCUAUAUGCAAAGUCAUACCAUCCUAAAUAUCCCCUCCAAAUACGAUGGAAAUUCAGUUAGCUCACUGGUUUGUUUGACAACAAACCAUUUCCAUUUUAAUGAUUACAGCUAUUUCAAUUAAUGGAAUGCAGAUUUCAGUUGAUAUGGUUAAAGGAAAGAUGAAAUAUUGGACUUAAGAGAUGAGAAGUGAAAUCCCUGUGUAAUUUAUGACACUGUCUUUCAUCCCAGAAAUACAUAACAACAACAACAACAACAACAACAACAACAACAACAACAACAACAACAGUUUAUUUAUAUUCUUCCCUAUCUCCCCAAAAGGACUCAGGGCAGCUUCCAACGACAAUGUCUUUUCCUCACAGAAGGAAAAAAGAUAUGCUGUGCAAAGUGUGGCAAAGCAAAAUAAAUAGACUGCUUCUAAUGUUAUCCUUCAUAUAAGUGUGGUAUAAUGAGAAAUGCCUUCAAGAGUCUAGCAUGAUAAUAGGAGCUUUGCAGUUGCCGCCAAAUCCCUUGCACAGAUUGAAACCAUUCUGAUUGACAGACCCAAAAAUAGCCUUAUUAUCAGCUUUUGCGUCUCUUAUUAAAGAACAGAGCUGCUGUGUGCUAUCACUAGGAGGGAGGGACUGAAGGAGGAGAGGGAAAGAGGGAUUUUGUUACCUUCUUGCUUUAAAGAAACUUUGAUCAAUGUCAGAGAGCAGGAACGUGGAAUGUUAUUAGCAGUAGAUGCGUUGACUCUCCUUCGGCAAAAAUUUCUGGGGAAAUGCAAUCAAGACCAUUACCUCACCUAGUCAUGUGUCAGUGCAUCUGCUUCAGGAGACGAGCCAGGCCAUGUUAAGUGCAGACUUACAGCGAAACCCAAUCUGUCAAGCUGGCAGAAAUGAUGUUAGCAAAUGGCAUUUCAGGCACUAGGGAGUUCGGCAUGCUCAGCAGGAGGAACUAAUAAAAAGGAGAAGACACCAACCAUGCCCCCUGGAUAGACAAGGCUUCGUUAUUGAUAUGAGGGAAAUCUCAUCUCGGAGGUGGGUGCUAUGAAGAGUUGGGCAAGGGCUGCUACAACUGGAGACUCUUACUGGAUCAAAAGGUGUACAGGACUGUCUUUGGAAUAAAGUAGGCCUAAAGGAAACCUGCAAACAAGAUUCUGUGAAACCUAAUACUUCCCAGACACUUCCCUGCCUUCAAUUUACCCCAGUAAAAUCAUCCAAAUGCUAGUGAGCAUGCUUUGUGGUGCAGAAGUAUUUCCUUAAAUGCAUCUUUCUUCUGGGUUUGUCUCAAUUUGUCUCAGCAGACUGUGUUUUUAAAUACAUAUAGCUACUAUUGUUUUCAUGAAGAAAAGCUGUUGUUUUCUUGUUGAAGUAAUUGUAGGAGCAAUCUGACAAAUUUUGUUUUGUUGUUUACUUUGUCUUUUUCAAAUCUAUUAAGAUCUUCCUGAGUCCUAA
Molecule: long non-coding RNA, 1465 nt
Organism: Anolis carolinensis (green anole)
Lineage: Eukaryota; Metazoa; Chordata; Lepidosauria; Squamata; Anolidae
Exons: 2
Source: RefSeq, a predicted model, not a curated record